This 440-nucleotide ribosomal RNA is filed under the name uncultured bacterium. RNAcentral's name for it is "partial 16S ribosomal RNA". It matches the Rfam family "Bacterial small subunit ribosomal RNA", at positions 338 to 795 of the family's 1533-position model. The record is from RNAcentral.
CCUACGGGAGGCAGCAGUGGGGAAUAUUGCACAAUGGGGGAAACCCUGAUGCAGCGACGCCGCGUGAGUGAAGAAGGAAUUCGUGAUGUAAAGUUCUAUCAGUAGGGAAGAAAAUGACGGUACCUGAAUAAGCAGCCCCGGCUAACUACGUGCCAGCAGCCGCGGUAAUACGUAGGGGGCAAGCGUUAUCCGGAUUUACUGGGUGUAAAGGGAGCGUAGACGGCAGUGCAAGUCUGGAGUGAAAGGCGGGGGCUCAACCCCGGGAGUGCUUUGGAAACUGUACGGCGGGAGUGCAGGAGAGGUAAGUGGAAUGCCUAGUGUAGCGGUGAAAUGCGUAGAUAUUAGGAGGAACACCAGUGGCGAAGGCGGCUUACUGGACUGUAACUGACGUUGAGGCUCGAAAGCGUGGGGAGCAAACAGGAUUAGAUACCCGAGUAGUC